ACCGAGAAGGCUCAGUUGGUAGAGCCUCUGUGGGGUAAACGGAGUGUCGCUGGUUCUAUUCGGGCUCGCGGUA
RNAcentral lists this transfer RNA (73 nucleotides) under Fasciola hepatica (liver fluke). Its description in RNAcentral is "tRNA-Thr". Lineage: Eukaryota; Metazoa; Platyhelminthes; Trematoda; Plagiorchiida; Fasciolidae. The record is from RNAcentral.